This 466-nucleotide ribosomal RNA is filed under the name Vreelandella stevensii. RNAcentral describes it as "partial 16S ribosomal RNA". It matches the Rfam family "Bacterial small subunit ribosomal RNA", at positions 338 to 795 of the family's 1533-position model. The record is from RNAcentral. Lineage: Bacteria; Pseudomonadati; Pseudomonadota; Gammaproteobacteria; Oceanospirillales; Halomonadaceae.
CCUAACGGGAGGCAGCAGUGGGGAAUAUUGGACAAUGGGGGGAACCCUGAUCCAGCCAUGCCGCGUGUGUGAAGAAGGCCCUCGGGUUGUAAAGCACUUUCAGUGAGGAAGAACGCCUGGUGGUUAAUACCCAUCAGGAAAGACAUCACUCACAGAAGAAGCACCGGCUAACUCCGUGCCAGCAGCCGCGGUAAUACGGAGGGUGCGAGCGUUAAUCGGAAUUACUGGGCGUAAAGCGCGCGUAGGUGGCUUGAUAAGCCGGUUGUGAAAGCCCCGGGCUCAACCUGGGAACGGCAUCCGGAACUGUCAAGCUAGAGUGCAGGAGAGGAAGGUAGAAUUCCCGGUGUAGCGGUGAAAUGCGUAGAGAUCGGGAGGAAUACCAGUGGCGAAGGCGGCCUUCUGGACUGACACUGACACUGAGGUGCGAAAGCGUGGGUAGCAAACAGGAUUAGAUACCCGAGUAGUC